GCCUUCGUGGUGUAUUGGUCAAGCACACUCGGCGCGUAUUCGAGAGGUCCAUGGUUCGAGUCCCGGCGCGGGCA
This is a non-coding RNA of Stegodyphus mimosarum, 74 nucleotides long. NCBI's taxonomy places the organism in Eukaryota, Metazoa, Arthropoda, Arachnida, Araneae, Eresidae. The record is from Rfam.